CUGACACUAAAGGACAAAAAGACCCUUUGAAGCUUUAUAGGGAUAAAACUCAGCUUACGUAAAUCCAUCUUGUUGCUUCUCCGCUUUAUUACAACAACUGUUGGUUGCUAAAGCCUUACAAGAUUUACAACAUCAAGACC
Molecule: ribosomal RNA, 140 nt
Filed under: Symbiodinium sp. clade B
Lineage: Eukaryota; Dinophyceae; Suessiales; Symbiodiniaceae
Description: partial 23S ribosomal RNA
Source: RNAcentral